AUGAUGGCGUCUUUCUGGCCGCUGUGCGCUCUUGUCGUACUGCUCGCCGCAGUCGGCUCCGUCUCCAUCGCAUCCGCCUCCGUGGCCGACGCAGGUAGCUCGUCUCUCAAUUCUUCGCUGCUCGCAUCGGCGGCUCCUCCGCCAACCGCCGUCCUUCCCCGCAAGGUGCUCCGCCCUGCAGGCGUGGGCGCAGACGUGCCGCACCGCGUGAGCCUCGGCUGCGCCGGCGCGGACGACAUCGCCAUCGAGCAGGGCCCGGGGACGACGCUGCCCAGCGGGGUCCCGUCCUACACGGUGGACAUAAUCAACCGCUGCUCCGGCGCAGGACGCGAAGCGUGCGCCAUCUCUGGCAUCCGCGUGCGCUGCGGCUGGUUCAGCUCCGUCACCCUCGUCGACCCCAGCAAGUUCCGCCGGGUGGCGCCCGACGACUGCCUCGUCAACGACGGCAAGCCGCUCUUGGCUGACGACACCAUCUCCUUCGAGUACGCCAACUCGUUCCAAUACAAGCUCUCCGUCGCCAAGGCCACCUGCGUCCACCCCGCCGCCGACACCUCCGACUAG
This 561-nucleotide ribosomal RNA is filed under the name Triticum aestivum (bread wheat). RNAcentral's name for it is "partial small subunit ribosomal RNA". The record is from RNAcentral. Lineage: Eukaryota; Viridiplantae; Streptophyta; Magnoliopsida; Poales; Poaceae.